Molecule: long non-coding RNA, 396 nt
Organism: Tachyglossus aculeatus (Australian echidna)
Lineage: Eukaryota; Metazoa; Chordata; Mammalia; Monotremata; Tachyglossidae
Exons: 3
Source: RefSeq, a predicted model, not a curated record
GGCGUGAGGAGCGGCGGGGAGCCGCGGCCGGGGCCGGCUGCGGGUCGGGGCCGGCUGGAGUCCGGGGCCGCCCGGCGGGGCCGGCAGGUCGCUGACUGGAAGCUGUUUUGCAACAGACUGUGCUCUCCCGCACCCGUGAUGCACGUCGGGGCUGUACCUCCCGAAAGGGAAGAAGAAUUAGUAGUUCGGGCCUCCGCAGGCCACCUCAGGCUCGCCUGACCGGAUGGACGGGCCCUGGGCUGGACGGGCGGACGCGCCCCCGCACCGAGAUGGGAAAGAGCCGGAAUCGGGGCCCCCGCCAGGCCCGCCGCCCCCGCAAGAGGGGCGGCUGAGGCCGGGGGUCCCCCGCGGCCCCCUGACGGGCUGACCCGCGGGACGGGAAGGGCCGCCGUCGAU